This 497-nucleotide ribosomal RNA is filed under the name uncultured bacterium. RNAcentral's name for it is "partial 16S ribosomal RNA". It matches the Rfam family "Bacterial small subunit ribosomal RNA", at positions 28 to 507 of the family's 1533-position model. The record is from RNAcentral.
GAUGAGCGCUGGCGGCGUGCCUAAUACAUGCAAGUCGAGCGAACGGACGAGAAGCUUGCUUCUCUGAUGUUAGCGGCGGACGGGUGAGUAACACGUGGAUAACCUACCUAUAAGACUGGGAUAACUUCGGGAAACCGGAGCUAAUACCGGAUAAUAUUUUGAACCGCAUGGUUCAAAAGUGAAAGACGGUCUUGCUGUCACUUAUAGAUGGAUCCGCGCUGCAUUAGCUAGUUGGUAAGGUAACGGCUUACCAAGGCAACGAUGCAUAGCCGACCUGAGAGGGUGAUCGGCCACACUGGAACUGAGACACGGUCCAGACUCCUACGGGAGGCAGCAGUAGGGAAUCUUCCGCAAUGGGCGAAAGCCUGACGGAGCAACGCCGCGUGAGUGAUGAAGGUCUUCGGAUCUUAAAACUCUGUUAUUAGGGAAGAACAUAUGUGUAAGUAACUGUGCACAUCUUGACGGUACCUAAUCAGAAAGCCACGGCUAACUACGUG